RNAcentral lists this ribosomal RNA (477 nucleotides) under uncultured bacterium. RNAcentral describes it as "bacterial SSU rRNA". It matches the Rfam family "Bacterial small subunit ribosomal RNA", at positions 32 to 524 of the family's 1533-position model. The record is from RNAcentral.
AAUCAACGCUGGCGGCGUGCCUAACACAUGCAAGUCGAACGCGAAAGCCCGCAAGGGCAAGUAGAGUGGCGCACGGGUGAGUAACACGUGGACAACCUGCCUUCGAGUGGGGAAUAACCUUCCGAAGGAGGGCUAACACCGCAUAACACCUCAGGACACAAGUUCUGAGGUUGAAAGAGCAAUUUGCUCGAAGAGGGGUCUGCGCCUGAUUAGCUAGUUGGUGAGGAACGGCUCACCAAGGCUUCGAUCAGUAGCCGUCCUGAGAGGGAGCACGGCCACACUGGAACUGAGACACGGCCCAGACUCCUACGGGAGGCAGCAGUGGGGAAUUUUUGGCAAUGGGCGAAAGCCUGACCAAGCAACGCCGCGUGGGUGAUGAAGUAUCUUGGUACGUAAAACCCUUUCGGCAGGGACGAACCUAAUGACGGUACCUGCGGAAGAAGCCCCGGCUAACUCCGUGCCAGCAGCCGCGGUAAG